Vespula vulgaris is the source of this 3271-nucleotide long non-coding RNA. RefSeq lists it as uncharacterized. The record is from RefSeq and is a predicted model, not a curated record. Lineage: Eukaryota; Metazoa; Arthropoda; Insecta; Hymenoptera; Vespidae. The transcript is spliced from 5 exons.
GAGACUAGGGAAUAUAUCCUUUCAAAGGAUUCAAAGGCAAGUAGCUUUGGCAAGAGGGUAAAAUCGAUUGAGUUCGGAAAGGUUCGUCAAAGGGUCGUCCGACUGUGUAAGCGGAUCGUGGAUCAAAGUGGAACUUUUGCUCUACGAGGGAAUAUUGCUUCGUAGAAAAGAAGAUUUUAUCGCGGUAUCUUCUUGGAUUUCAUCUUCUUUCACCCUCAAAAGGAUUUAACACAGUCGAAAAGAGAAAAUGAAAAUCGAUAAUAACGUUGAUAGUGUUCUUGGAUAUCGAAUUAAUAUUAAUUAUGAUAUCAAUUAGUUAAAAAAUUACAUAUACUAUAAUAAUAUUUAUUUCAAUGCCAUGGGUGAAAUUGGGAACGAUAAGGAAAAUCUUAAAGCGAUUAGCAAUGAUUCCAAAAAGGAAGAUCUGCGAAUCGAUCUUGAAGAAGAAGAGGAAGCAAAAGGAGAUGUAGGAGAUGAAGAAUACGAAGAUAGCCCUGCAAGACGUAAUUAUUAAUGGAGUUAGAAUUAUUUUCGCUAGUACUUGAUGGUAAACUGAUUCGAUUUAUACGUAAAUACAUGUAUGUAUAUACACACAUACACACAUAUACAUAUAUGUAUAUGUAUAUAUAUAUAUAUCUUUCUCCGUACCGUGUACUUUCUAUGUACUAAAGUCUAAUAUUUAUAUACAUAUUUAUUUAUAUAUUGGUCUACAAAUUGAUAAACUAUCUAUAUCUUUCUGAGAAUCAUCACGGAUACAAAUAAAAGACGGAUGUAAAAUUAAAAAAGAAAUUAAAAGAUAAGUUAAAAUGAAAAAUGAAGUUAAUAUUAAAGAGGAAAGGAAACAUUGGGAAAAGAAGCGAACGAAUGUGUAUUGGGAAAGUGGAACAAUUGAUAUUGAUUUCAUAUUUUCAUAUAUUUGUCUGGGAUAGAUAAGUGGAAACUCGAUUUUUGAUAAAUAUUUGCUGCUUCUGAAUAUCAAAAUAAGAAUUCAAAAGAAAAAGAAAAACUAAAAGCUCGACGAAAUUUGGACCAACUUAUUUUUAAUCGAUACGACAACGUGUCCAAAACGACAAAACUCCAAGAAAAAAAAGAUGAUUAGUAUAUAAACCGUAGUAGCUGAAAAUUGGCCGCAUAUCUGGAAUCGAUAUAUUUUUCAGGUUCUUGGAUAUAGUUUUCGAUGCGGUGUUACCAUACACAUUGCUAGAAGCUGAUAUUCCUUAUAUACACGACGAGAAGAGACGCACGUAUAAUUCAAGGAACCAUUAAAAAGGAAUAUUAAUGGUUACUACGAGCAUCUAUCCCUGGCAAUCUGCUGCGGCAGCGAGAGAGCUCCGAUGUUUACUCGUCGGAGUAGAAAAGAUGACUGAUCCGGUAAUCAUCCAAAUCAAUCAUUUGUUUACUUUACACAUUACCAAUGACCGCCAUUUCAAAAUUUAAAUCUAAUAGAAAAUAAAUUACAAUUAUUUGAUAUUUCGUCGGUGUUCCGCGGCGUGUAAUGUUUAACGGAAUUUACUAUUGCUUAAAGAGUAAUUUAUUUAAUUUCUCGUACAUCUAUAUCCUUUAAAUGAAUUUAAAAUUAUCAAAAGUAUUUAGUUUGAAGUUUUCACAUUUAGAAAAAGAGGUCAAUCGUCAAAGUUAUUCAAAGGUUCGUUUUUAUUAACAUUACACGCAGCGGCGCAACUCAGAUGCAACCAUCCGGAGAUCAAAAUUAUACGUUAUUGAAAUUUUAAGUUAAAAUUAUUUUGUUUCUCACGCGUUAGGACCUUCGUAAUAUUUAAGCGAAUUCGUUUAAAUGUUACAAUCAUGGAAAUAAUUCGAUUAUAUAUUAUUUCUAAGAAGACAUCAAGUUGAAGUACUUAAAGAUUAUUAUAAAAAUAAUAAUAUUUAAUUUAUCAAAUUACCAAGAAAUAUGAUGCAAAUUCUUCAUUCUAUCCGUAGAGAGAUAAAAAGCAUCGAAUGAUUCAUAUUUUGCUUUCCUUCCGUAUUUUCCCUUUGUACUCGGCGUUCUCUCGGACGUUAGCUAGCAACAACGCAGCGGCAUUACGUCGCACAAAUGUGGUAUAUAGUGUAACAUAUUAUAUAUUUUCACUUUGGUACCAAGGAAUAUAUUAUAGUAGUAUUUGAUUUAUAUGAAUUUAUUGACAAAUUUAUUCAAUAGAAUCGACAUUUUAUUCUAUAUAAUUUUCUACGAUAUUUAUGACGAGUUUUCUAACAAUUCUUGUACACCAUUUUCAUUGCUAUCAUUAUCUAUGAGAUUUUCUUAUUUUUCUGAUGAAUUUUCCGAGAGAACAUCCGAGUGCAAGGGGUUAAAAAGAAAAUUAAAGCAUGAAUUAAAAUCCAAAAAGUAAUUGAAAUUAAAAGAAAAAUAAUCGUUACAAAAUAGACUUAAAAAAAAAGUAAACAAAUAUUUCAGAAAUAUUCAGAAAGCAUAUCAAAUGGUUACAAUUUCAUAUUUCUAUAUGCGUGUGUUAGAUGUAAACUCGAUUUUUGAUUUAUAUUUACUUUUCUCUUAACUUUUCAGAAAUUUUCCCAAAAAUUUAUUAAUCACGCUCGGAAAAAAGUUAAAUAAGAAAAAUCUCAUUUCUUAAUUGAAUUCUCAAUACAUAUUUGUUUGCUUUUUUCUUUCAUGUUCUUUUUUUUUUUAAUUAAACUUUUUUCUUUGAUUUUAAUUUAUCGUUUACUUUUCUUUUUGAUUUUAAUUUUACUUAUAUAUUUAGAGUUGCAUACAUCGGAAUAAAUAAUUUAUCAACAUGUAGACAAUUAUAUGAAUAAGUAUGUAUGUAAACAUGAUUAAAUUUUAGUAUAUAGUAAGAUAUAUAUAUAUAUGCAUAUAUAUAUAUACACAUAUAUGUGUGUUUGUGGGUUUAAACACACAUACAAAACGUAUAUAUAGGAAGAAAUAUUAUAUAAAAUUAUCGCUAAACUAAUUGAAAACAAUAUGUAAUGAACUUAAAAACGACUAGCGAAGAUAGUUCUAUGUCCCUCUAUUAAUAAUUACAUCUUACUCAACUGACUAUAUAAAAACAAUUAGCCCUGAAUAAUGCGUUGAAAUUGAUAGUCUAAUAGUAAAUUGAAUCUUCUCGAAAUCAUCUUCUUUAAAAUGAUAUAUAUGAUAUACAUACCAUUAUCGCGGCUAAUUGGGGGCUUAUAUAUUAUCUUGGAUGUUCCCUAUUCUGGGUCUUCGAAAAACUUGCAUGGAAGACUACCAGAUUCAGAAUCAAUAUCAUGUAAUCCAUUUCAAUGAAUACAAUAAACUCAAAUAUCAAAUCAA